RNAcentral lists this long non-coding RNA (238 nucleotides) under Setaria italica (foxtail millet). RNAcentral's name for it is "long non-coding RNA (SITA_LNC006089)". The record is from RNAcentral. Lineage: Eukaryota; Viridiplantae; Streptophyta; Magnoliopsida; Poales; Poaceae.
CGGACCCUAGUAUCCCUACGCGGCACCUUCCGACAAGGAGCUUAUGAAGGUGUUGUGCACCGUGUUAUGCAUCACCCCAGCUUGAUCGAUCAUAGCCCGAUAGAUCGCCUGAUGGACCAUCUCCGACAUUUUUCCCGAGUCCUUCGCAAUGGUGAUAUGGCGUGGUGUCUGGAGAGCGGCCUUCUUGAUGGUCUCGCCGCUUCUGUUGUGGCUGUAGGACUGGAGGCACAACUUUUUG